Molecule: ribosomal RNA, 497 nt
Filed under: uncultured bacterium
Lineage: Bacteria
Description: partial 16S ribosomal RNA
Rfam family: Bacterial small subunit ribosomal RNA
Source: RNAcentral
GAUGAACGCUGGCGGCGUGCCUAAUACAUGCAAGUCGAGCGAACGGACGAGAAGCUUGCUUCUCUGAUGUUAGCGGCGGACGUGUGAGUAACACGUGGAUAACCUACCUAUAAGACUGGGAUAACUUCGGGACACCGGAGCUUAUACCGGAUAAUCUUUUGAACCGCAUGGUUCAAAAGUGAAAGACGGUCUUUCUGUCACUUAUAGAUGGAUCCGCGCUGCAUUAGCUAGUUGGUACGGUAACGGCAUACCAAGGCUACGAUGCAUAGCCGACCUGAGAGGCUGAUCGGCCACACUGGAACGGAGACAGGGACCAGACUACUACGGGAGGCAGCAGUAGGGAAUCUUCCGCAAUGGGCGAAAACCUGACGGAGCAACGCCGCGCGAGUGAUGAAGGUCUUGGGAUCGUAAAACUCUGUUAUUAGGGAAGAACAGAUGUCUAAGUAGCUGUGCACAUCUUGACGGUACCUAAUCAGAAAGCCACGGCUAACUACGUG